GAUGAAGACGUAGCGAAAUGCGAUAAGUAAUGUGAAUUGCAGAAUUCAGUGAAUCAUCGAAUCUUUGAACGCACAUUGCGCCCGCCAGUAUUCUGGCGGGCAUGCCUGUUCGAGCGUCAUUUCAACCAUCAAGCCCCCGGCUUGUGUUGGGGACCUGCGGCUGCCGCAGGCCCUGAAAACCAGUGGCGGGCUCGCUAGUCACUCCGAGCGUAGUAAUACAUCUCGCUCAGGGCGUGCUGCGGGUUCCGGCCGUUAAAAAGCCUUUUUUACCCAAGGUUGACCUCGGAUCAGGUAGGAAGACCCGCUGAACUUAAGCAUAUCAAUAAGCGGAGGA
RNAcentral lists this unclassified non-coding RNA (334 nucleotides) under soil metagenome. RNAcentral describes it as "partial contains 5.8S ribosomal RNA, internal transcribed spacer 2, and large subunit ribosomal RNA". The stretch from base 1 to 119 matches the Rfam family "5.8S ribosomal RNA", at positions 35 to 154 of the family's 154-position model. The record is from RNAcentral.